RNAcentral lists this ribosomal RNA (468 nucleotides) under uncultured bacterium. RNAcentral describes it as "partial 16S ribosomal RNA". It matches the Rfam family "Bacterial small subunit ribosomal RNA", at positions 28 to 507 of the family's 1533-position model. The record is from RNAcentral.
GACGAACGCUGGCGGCGUGCUUAACACAUGCAAGUCGAACGGAAAGGCCCUGCUUUUGUGGGGUGCUCGAGUGGCGAACGGGUGAGUAACACGUGAGUAACCUGCCCUUGACUUUGGUAUAACUUCAGGAAACUGGGGCUAAUACCGGAUAGGAGCUCCUGCUGCAUGGUGGGGGUUGGAAAGUUUCGGCGGUUGGGGAUGGACUCGCGGCUUAUCAGCUUGUUGGUUGGGUAGUGGCUUACCAAGGGUUUGACGGGUAGCCGGCCUGUGAGGGUGACCGGAGAAAUGGGGACGGAGAUAGGGAACAGAAUGGAAGGGGAGGCAGCAGUGGGGAAUAGUGCACAAUGGGAGGAAGCCUGAUGCAGCAAAGCAGCGUGCGGGAUGACGGCCUUCGGGUUGUAAACCGAUUUAGCAUGUGACGAAGCGUGAGUGACGGUAAUGGGUAAAGAAGCACCGGCUAACUACGUG